Molecule: long non-coding RNA, 1713 nt
Organism: Motacilla alba alba
Lineage: Eukaryota; Metazoa; Chordata; Aves; Passeriformes; Motacillidae
Exons: 3
Source: RefSeq, a predicted model, not a curated record
UCUGUAAUUGACUGAACUAAAAGAGAUUGGGUGAAUUUUACUCAAAAACAAGGUAAAUAUUCAAAACUUUUCAUCUUUCAACCCAUCUAGCCACCCAAUCUAAGAAUCCGCAUGCCAAAAGACCAUUCCUGCCUUUCUUUUUCCAAUAGUUACAGGCAAUCAAAACUUGAAUGAAAACAAAAAGAAACAACCAAAUUCUGAAUUUGUGACAGAAGAGUUUAAGUGGAAGUCUCACACAUUACACUUAGCAAAAUCAGAAGAAUUACUGAAAUCCCCGACUGGCGUAAGUUAAUUUGCAUAAAAAACUGUACUUUAGGACAUCUUCCUGAUAUUUGAGAGUUUACCCCUAAAUCAUCUUCAUCUCUCUUCUUAAGUACUUCAUUCUCAGAGGUAGGCCCCAAUUCUUUUAUAUACAACAUCAAAGCUAAGAGGGUUAACUGUAGUUACAAAGUGCCCAGAAGUUACUGUGACAGCUAGGUACAUUAUUUAUAGUGAGAAAUUAAAUAUGCAGGACGAUCCAUCUGGUCAGAUUAUUUCUGAAGGUUUAAUAUCAGAUCUGACUGAGCAAUGGCCACCAUACCAGAUUAGCGAGCUGUAUAGAUGUCUACAUCAAGGAGUGGGAAGUCCUAGAACCAGAUACCACCUUCUUGAAAAGGGUGUGUGACAAACAGUAAUAAAUAGGAAAAGAAAAAAAUGAGGGGAGCAAAUAUGUAACAUUGAGAUGUUAAAUUAAACAGCCCUCAACACUGAACUGAGACCGACUAAUUAAACACAUUAAUUCAGGCAUACAUUUUUCUCAGGAGAAAUUAUGGUAGUUUCUGAUGUUUCUUCAUGUAGUAGCGUGAAUUUGCAAGUAAUGGAAAGUGAAUCUCUGAAGAUCCUACCAAAAUCAAUAACAUUGAAAGCAAAUAGUUUUCCUUCCUUGUCCUCAUAUGCUUCAGGACCAAUCAGAUAUCCAGUUCAGGCAGCUGAAGCAAGAGAAUUUGGGGAAUGGAAGAAAUGCAUAAUUGGUUCCCUAUUUGUAAAUACACUACUGCUGUUUCACUGAGGAAUCCCUGCUCUUGGAAUAGCUCUGGAAGGCAGGAGGUGUUUGGCAAGAUGCUUUUCCAUGGCUGCAGUCAGGUGAGGAAUAUCAGCAUACGGUGAGCCUUUGGGAAGCCCAGAGGAUGCAAAGAAAGAAUGACUGGUGUAUCUUUCUGGGACUGGUGGGAUAUCCAUCUUACCAUAGACUCAGGCAGGUAUAAAGACUAGAUGUGCAUCAGCUAGGUGAGUUUUUAUAGGUAAGUGCAGUCAGUAUCUAUCAUGGGCAUUCAUUUUCCUCUACAUGGAAGGAAAAUGUCUUCAGAACUCCUGGACAGAAUAUCUGGAGUUACCAAUUCCUUGGUAGUAUUCUGUCUUGAUAGAAAGUUGACUAAGCACAUUAUUUUCUAAGUUCUCAAAGAGAGCAGUGCUGCAGGUCUGGUGGCCCUCAGCACCUGACUAACUGAGCCUGUGAACAGAUCAGAGGUGGUACUGGGUCUGACCAAGGCCAGCAGCACCUGGAGGGAUGGCCAAUACACAGAUGCUCCUGGGAGACUGUAGCAGCAGAUCAAACACAAAGUGGUAUUUCCUUCAGUAAUUCCCUGUUCUUGAUGCUUUGUGCCUCAGGGAUUCCCUGCAUGAGAGUUAUCUUCUUUUAAUUUAAUGUAUUUGCCAAUCAGGUUUUGCACCCAU